GGGCUUGGGGUUGUCCUGGUUGUAGAGAUGUGUCCUGUCAUUGGGUUUGGGCUUGGGGUUGUCCUGGUUGUGGAUAUCUGGGAGCUGGUUGUCUCUGGAAACAAACAAACAAUAGCAUCACAAUCUCUUUGUUGGGGGGAGGUGGUGGUGGGCAGUAGAGAAAGGAGGCUAAUCUGAUGGAACGCUGGAGCAAAUUUCAGUAGACCCUUCUCAGUUACCAAGUAUUUGUAGAGGAUGAGGAAAAAACUAGGGGUACAGAAUGUCAAGGAACAAAAUGCAAGUAAGAAAGAUUCUCUACCCUUAAGGUCUACACAAUCCUAAAUGGGAAGGAAUUUAUACAACUACUGAAUUUGUUGUUGGGUGGGUAGUCUGUCCUCCUAUGUCUUUAUGUCCUUAAUGUUAUAUUAGAUCAACCAGUGCAAAUAUCAUCCAGAAUGGCAUGAUUUUCUUUUUUUCCUACUAAUUUCAAAGGUUGCAUGUAAAGCUUGUAAGAAUAGAUAAUCAUUCAGACCUGAGGAUGGCUACCCUGCCCUAAAGCAAGUGCAAAGAGGCCCUGUACAAACCCCUGAAUCUCUUUCUGUGGUUUCAGAGGCACUGGUCAUUCUCAGAUGUGGGGGUCUGACCAUCCAUGGGUUCUCUGAGGUUGCCUUGCAGAGAAGCAGAGAACCAGGCCCUGGGGUAGUCUGAUCCUGGAAAACCUGGAGUAUUAUAAUGAUGCCUCCAGGGGUCUAUGGAUCAAAGAGGACUAUAUAGAAGAAUAAGAAGGGAGAAAUCCUGUGAUUUGCUCGGGCCCAAGCACUGUCCCCAGCGGGAGGGUGUCUUCCAGUUAGGAGGCCUUGUCUUAUCUCAUUUAGUGUUUCUCCAGGGCAAAUGUUUCUCUAGUAUCCCACUGAGCCACAAAGUCUGAACACAACUACUUGAAGGAAUCCUGAUUAGAAACACACAUUUUUUCUUUCUUUCUUAGCAUUUACAUGAGUGUUCAUCUUGAAAAUACCCUUCAGGGAGAAAAUAAUACCCUGGUCUUUCCACAGAGGGGAAGCACCAAAGGAAGCCAUGAAGGCAUUCAUGUAAUAGUUUCCUUAGGCAGAAUCACUUUAAAAUCUAUUGCUGAAAACAGAUAUCCCUUGUGACCACAUUUGCAAUGUACAGUCAGCAGGAAGAUGAGCAUCAUACUGCAUGUUGGGGGGCUCCCAAGGAAGACUUGUUAUCUGGACAUUAAGAAAGACUAAUGUUUAUUGUUCUUGGUUGAGCUUUGCAUUUUAAAACUUCAUUCGUAGUAAAAUGUUGUCUUUCUAGUUUUGAUGUAAGUCUAAGAAAAGUGGAAAAAAGUAUAAGAUGUGGACUGUGAGUCCUAGUUUUGCCAUUUGCUUUCUGUGUGGCUUUGGGCAAGUUACCUAUCUUUCUUGGACCUCAGUGUCUCGAAUUUGUUUUAACUCCAUAGAAGGAGGUAGGAGAGAAGGAAGAGGACAGAGAAGGGAGGAGAAGGACCAGGAGCUCCAGGAUGGUUUGAAGUUGGAGACGACAGCCUGUGAAAGGAAGCUUCCAGACCUAUGGAAAACCGAGAGAGAUCUGGGAAUUUGAGCUUCUAUCAAAAGGGAAAAAUCACAGUCCAUACAAGGAGAAGGAGAUACGCACAGCAGCAGGGAAGAUGGCCCCUUCUGCAUGGAGAGAUUCCACUGAGGUGGUGCCUGGGAGCUGCUCAUACCUCCUCCAGAGGGGAAUUCCAAGGAUCGCAGGCUUCACCCCAUCCUUGAGCAAUGAAAGAUAAGUGCCAGGAAAUGACAAGGACAACCUUGGAGGCCACAUGAUGAAGACAGCAGAACUUUUGUUAGCCUGGGUGCCCCUGGGUGGAGAGCUGCUCUUGAAAACUGGGAACAUUUGCCUUGGGCUGUUUUGGAGGAAACAAGCCCAUGAAGUGCUGUUCAGUGACACCUCCAAGGCCGUGGGCAGAGUCCAGAUUGGAACCAGAUUGGAGUACCCACACCUCUUUCCUUCAUUCUCCUUGCUGUUCCUGUGCUAUCUCACCCUGGUGAGGCCAACAUAACCACAGGAGGUGGGUAUGAAUUAAGAGAGUCUGCUUCUCAAUUCUGCAAAGCCGAAAAGACUGUGGGGCAAUCGCCAUUAUCUCUGAAUGUUCCAGAUGAGGACACUGAGAUCCGGAGGACUGUGAUAGCCCAAGGCCACACACAGUAGUGGUAGGAAACUAAGUCUGUUGCCUUUUGGCCACACAAUGCUGUUAAAUCGAUUGUGUGGUUGAAAUUUAAAAAAAAAAUGUUUAUUUAUUUUUGAGAGAGAGACAGACAGAGCAUGACCAGGGGAGGGGCAGAAAGAGAGGGAGACAUAGAAUCUGAAGCAGGCUCCAGGCUCUGAGUUGUCAGCACAGAGCCUAACGUGGGGCUUGAAUCCACAAACUGUGAGAUCAUGACCUGAGCUGAAGUCGGAUGCUUAACCUUAACCAACUGAGCCACCCAGGCACCCUGUCAGUGGUGUGGUGUAAUGGGGUCCAACCCUGGAAGGGUUUGCGGUCUCAGUACCUAUAAAGUACUGACAUUCAUGUGCUAAUGGUUGGUGAGCAGUCAUGCCACACGGAUGGGUGUCUGGGAAAGUACUGUGUGUCCUUCGCUUCCUCAGCCCUCCCAGCCUCCUGGCUUAGGCUGGGCCCGUAACAGGGGCUCCAUGACUGUGUAUGGGAAUGAAUGAUGGUUUGCUUCAGGAAUCUUAGAACGAUGCAGAACACCAUUAACAGUAACGUGUCUAACACUUCAGAGUUCCCUAAGUGCUUCCACAUACAUUAUCUCAUUUCAAGUACCUACCUGCAUUUGAAAUUGUUACAGGGUGUAAGCAUAUAAUUAAAAUAUCAAUUAAGCCAGGUUCUGAAAUACAUCAGACUGUGCUAGAACAUGAAUUAAAAGCAAAAACAAAAACAGAAACAAUGACAACUCAUCAAUCUAGGACUAAUUUCCCGGGUGUGACCCACAACUCAUCUCCCCUCAACCCCAGUUUUGCUCCAAUGGCAUCAUCGUACUCAGUGGACCUGCCUUGUUGGUUCUCCCUGAUUUUGCUCUUAUUGCGCCCUCUGUCAGGAAUUCUCCUGCCUAAUUUGUCUGGGAAACAAAGUCUUCUUUAAUCUUUAAAGCCCUGGUUAUAUAUCUCCAAUUUUGUUACGGUUUUCUUAACACCUUCUUUUGCCCCCUUCACUCCUAAUUACGUCGAAUUAGCUGCUUCCACAGACUGUGUUAUGUCACAUCUUAUACUGUAUUGCAAUGAUUAACUUUUGUUCCUCCUCCUUCAUCAGGCUGAGCAUCUUGAGGGCAGAGCUGUUUUAUUUCCUCUAGUGUCUGGGACCCUGUAGGUGUUGGAUAUAUGUCUGUUACAUGAAUGAAGAGAUAUGCCUGGGGCAUUUGGUGACCAGGUGAAGACCCUGGUGGGUUGGCAUUUAUUCAGCCUGCAUGCCUUAGACCAACACCAAACAGGUCGGGUUCCCUGGGGGUGAGGCCAUCACUGAGGACCGAGUUACUCUUUCAGUGCAGCCCCAUUUCUGCAGGAAGCAACUUGCCAGGUAAAGAAUAAAUCUCAAGUUUUACAACUUGUUUAUUUUCUAACCAGACUUCUCAUUAAAAUGUAACAAAACUAAACGAAACACCCACAACAAUCCAUUCUCUUUCACAAACAAUAAAAUACCCAGGAAGGAUUAUGGAAUAUUUGGCUUCUCUGAAUGUAUCUGGCAAUAUGUCCUGUGUUGCUUUUCCCAAAAAAUAAUUGCCUCUGUAGACAGUAGAUAAGGCAUGUGUGGUGUGCGUGCAUGCAUGUAGGAGCACGCACACACACACACACACACACACUGAUGACAUGGUGUAGUUGAAGGUUAAGUAGACUGAGAUUCAAAUCAAAUCCAGCUCAACUGUUCACCAGCUGUGUGAUCUAGGGUUUCCGUAUAAUAGGGACGGCAAGACCUAUAUUGUAAGGUUGUUGUGAGGGUCCAAAGGGAGCAGAGGAACCAGAGAAGUUCACAACCCUCAGAAACUCUCUCCCAAAGACAAAUUGGGGUAUGAGGAUGGCCUGCUAAUCCUGGAAAGCUCUCCAUCCCCUGGAGCCUUACACACACACAUUGUUCCGUAAGCAACCCCUGGAGCCUUACGUACACACAUUGUCCCAUUUUGGGGGGCAUUUGAUAGUAUUGCCUAUCAUCAUUUAUCUUUUCCUGCACACCCAUAUAUCUCCCUAACUGCACUGGAACCACCUCAAGGGCCAGCUUAAACACUUCUUUCUGUCUGGCAGAAGAGAUGCUUCCUAGGUGGGCUGGCCACGUGGGCCAUGGUUCCAUGGGGAAGACCUGGGGAGAUCUGAAUCUCCAUAUGAGUCUUCUCUGCCCUGCUUCUAGGUCUCAGUUCAGACUUACUGCUGGGCUGGUUGAGGGUUCUGACACUGAUAGAUUAUUUCAGAAGCUACUCUUCAGCCGUUCCUUCUGGUCAGAAGUUUGAGGAUGGGUAGCACAAUGGGACAGAGAUCAUGGACUCCAUGGUGUGAACUCAACACCAGUGACCUACAAUCCUCUGUGUCCUGUUCAUAAAAAUAGGAACACUAAAACAUCCCUCACAGGCCUGCUUCUAGGAUGAAAUGAUAGGGCAGUGGAACCAUUGAGUGCAGGGCCUGGCACACAGUAAGGUUCUCACUAGGGUUUUUCUUGUUAAUACCACAAUGCUUUACUUUUAAGGUACCAUUGAUUAUGAGAUGCACUACAGAUAACAGCUUUUCAGGGAAAACUUGAGUGCAGAUUACCAGUUAAAUUCAUACAUCUCAACCUCAGACGCAUUAAAAGUGCACAACUGGGGCGCGCCUGGGUGGCUUAGUAGGUUAAGCACCUGAGUUCGGCUCAGAUCAUAAUCUCAUAGUUUGUGAACUCGAACCCUACGUUGGGCUCUGUGCUGACAGCUCUGUCUUCCUCUCUCCCUGCCCCUCCCCUGCUCAUGCUCUGUCUCUCUCUGUCUCUCAAAAAUACAUAAACAUUGAAAUAAAAUUUAUUUUAAAAAAGGCGCACAACUGAGCCAUGAAUUGUCUUUGCACUAGUCACAGGGACGAACAGCUGAGGAAGAGAAGUACAUGAGAUAAGAAGCAAAAACCACUGAUGCAAUUAGAUGACAUCCUCAGUGAUCAGCCCGAUACAAACACGAUGCUGGUAGAUCCAAAAGAUUGCACUGCAGACUCUCCCAGGCCUGGAACGGAGAGCGUCAGGGACACAGCCCUUGGCUCUCCUUUUGUCGGCGUCUCUUAAGCAUCUCUUGGGUGGAUCCACUGGGUUCUACAUGUGGUUUAGGCUUUCUGGACUGAAGCCUGAUGGAGGCCGGGUACUGGCCUUGGUAUCUGCUCCACCAUCAGGUGGGGUCAGCCUUCAGCUGGUAUCUGACAGACCAGCCUCCACUGCUUGGCUUUUCCAUUGAUCUUGGAGCUUCUUUGCUCCCCUCAGAGUUGGGAAGGGUGGUACAGCUUCUGUCAGAGCUCCCCCUUUUCUCUGCAUUGGCUUAGUUCAUAGGACUAUGCUUGUGCUUUAUUUCCCUCCCAUGUUCAUUGUAUCCACUAGGACCUAGUCAGAAACCAUACUAGGUUUAUCAAAUGGAGGGGAUUUAUUGUGGGCUAUUGGAUGCAUAGGUGUUGGGAGGCUGGAGCAACAAAAGUGAGAUUGUGAGGUGACUCAGAGCUAAUUAACUGCUGGAAGAAGCUACCACAGCUAGGGCUGGGGGAACAAAGGGGAGGAGGGGGUGUUACCAGGAUCUGGGAACACAGAGGAGGGUUUGUAGCCACAGGAGCAGCUGCCACAGAGGAGGAGCUGUUACAGCUAGAGUUGGAAUGAUGGAAAUAACAUAGCACUUUAGAGACAUCACCAAAAAAAAAAAAAAAAAUAGAGGGAGAGAGAGAGAGAGGGAGAGAGAGGGAGGAAGAACAGUGGCUUCUCCUUUCCUCUUGCACCCAAUAUCUUUUAUUGAGAAACUUCUGAGCAAGUCAACUGGCAAAGGCACUAAAGCAUUAUAGAGGAGUAUACAGAGAGUGGGCUUGGAGCAGAGGGACAGAGGCAAACAGUGAGCACAUUUGGGCAGUUAACAAAUAUUUUUAAAGUACUUCCCAAAUGCUAGGCACAGUUGUGGUGCUGGGGAGCCAGCAGUGGACAAAAGAGAAAAGUCCCUACCCUAUUAGAGCUCACAUGGCAGUUGAGAAAAACAGUGAAUAAACAUAAAAAAAAAGUAAAGUAUAUAGUAUCUCAGAUGGUGGUUAAAGUUCUAGAGAACAAUUAAACAGGGAAAGGGUAGGGAUUGGGGAGAGUGGGUAGGUUGGGAGGAAAAGUUUCACUGGGAAGGGGUAUUUCAGCGAAAGAAGUGAGAGAAUGAGCCCUGACACUUCUUGAGGGAAGAGCUGUGUAGGCAGCAACACAGUAGAUGCAAAGGCCCUGGGGCCUGCCACAUUCAAGAAAUAAUAAAGAGACCAGAGCAGAGUGUGCAAGAGGAAAAGUAAUAGGAAAUGGAGCCAGGGAGACAUGGUUGCUGAAAGCAGUUUGGGCUCCAGAAGGAAGAAAUAGAGACUCUUUAGAAUAAGGAGGCCACCUAAAAAUCUUUACACAGGUUUUUAUCAGACCCUGGUCUCCUUCUGACUUCAGCCCUGGGUUAUUUGUACUGGCCUCCCUCCUACCUUUUAUAGGCUCUGAAGAGAGAUAAAAAGGGUGGGACUUGAGGACAGACCCUGCAGGGCCUGAAAGCCAUUGUAGUGGCCUUUAUGGUAAGUGAUGUAGAAAGCCAUUCUCACCUUCCGUUCUUCUUAGUAUCCACUUCUGCCUCCUCACUCCGCAUAGGGACUGGAGGUCCACCUUAAGCCCCAGCUCAGUAACUGGGAUUCUCUGUCCUCUGAUCCCAUUGUCUUCUAGACUGUGGGCUUCCUGUCAGCAUAGCCCUGUCUAUUUUAAGUAUCUCUGUAUGUCUAGUAGGGGCUUAGGAAAUACCUGUUGGAUGAAUGAAUGGUUAAGAAGAUUCUCAUAUUUCACAUUUGUCACAAGCAUUGCGACAAGUUGGCUCAGUCGACCUAAUCAGACCCAUUGUGAAUUGGGUGCAGAGAAUCAGUCCAGCUAGUGAGUUGGAGUCAGCUUGGAAUUGGAGUUGCAUGAUUGAGUUUUUUAACUAGCUGCAUGCAGUGUGUGAGUGAUAGUCUCAGUGUCCACAAAAACUUUGGGGCCAACUUUGGGACACAGGAGGUGUAUCUACCUCACUGCUUUCUGGUAAUGACAGAGGUUUUUUUCCCCCCUUCUUUUUAUUAGUGAUAAAGGUUUUGUUGGAGAUAAUUGUAUUUUUAGCAGCACAGUUAAUGAACUAGCUAAGCAUCAAUAGAUGGAAUCAUAAAACCAUUAAACACCAAGAGCAAUAAUGGGAAGCUGUGUCUGGUGGUAAUGAAAUUAAGUGUCUUUAUGAGGUCACUUUAUUCCUUUUCUCCUCAGCGCUCUUGCCCUCCUGAGUACAUGGUGAGUGCCGCUCCUAAUUGCUGUUUCACUAAAAUGCACAAUGCUAUCCAUUUUGUGUUUUAAUUCAAUGUAUUUCUAGGGCCUUCAGGAUCAUUAAACCGUCCACCAAGAGAGUGCAGUAGAAGUGGUUAUGAAAGCUUCUGGAAGUGGCCCAGGAGUGUCAGAGAGUAAAGACAGCAGAAAAGGUUGAGAAAGAAUAAAAAAGACCUGCUGGACUUAGUACUGAGCCCAAACUGAUGAUGUCAGUGCUCAAGGUUGAGCUCAUUCAGGUCUUUGGUACAACUUCUGCAGACAGGACAGGAUUGGGGUCUAUGGUUAUAUUUGUCCUUGAACCACAGUUUUUCAGCUUGGGAAUACAUUCAUAUGCAUAAUUUCCUUUGAGCAUCAGGACAACCGCCUAUGAUAGUUUUUUUUUUUUUUAACAUUCAUUUAUUUUUGAGAGAGAGAGACACACACAGAGCACAAGUGGGGGAGGAGCAGAGAGAGAGAGAGGGAGACACAGAAUCCAAAGCAGGCUGUCAGCAUAGAGCCUGAGGUGGGGCUUGAACCCACGAACUGUGAGAUCAUGACCUGAGCCUAAGUCAGAUGCUUAACUGACUGAGCCACCCAGGUGUCCUGAUAAAUUUUUUUCCCCACUUUUCAGAUGAGGAAACUGAGGCUCAUGGAGUUUUAAGAGAGAUGACUCAGGUACCACUGCUAAUCAGGGGCCAAAGCUUCUGUUCUCUCUCUUAUACCAGGAAACUUCAUGGGUGUUGAGCCAAAUCACUUCCCAGUGAUUUUAAACUUGCCCAUCCAAGGUCACAGAAUCAUUACUUCAUUCAAUAAUUUGAGAAAUAUUUGUUGAUAUCUCCCAUAUGCUGGGAGUGUAAUAAUGAGCAAAGCAGACCCUUCCCCUGUCCUGAUAGAACGUAGAUGUAGCUGGGAAGGGUUAAGUAAGCAGCAUCAUGCAGUGGCUGGGUGAUAUGAUAGAGAAAACACCACGAUGGGGAGGCUGGCAGCAGGAUGAGAAAUCUGCAGGAUGAGAAGCCUUACUGGAGGAAGUGAGGUUUCAGUCCGAGGCCUGAAGCAUGGAAGUUAGAGAAAGAGAUGAAGGGAAGAGUAUACAAAGGUGUGGCUGAAGUGUAGGAGGGAGUGGUGGCUGAAUGGCAGUAUUUAUUGAGGUGAUAGCAUCAACUGAUAGGACCAAGGAACUGAUUUCAUGUGCAGGCUGAAGGGGAAGGAGGAAUUAGGAAUGCCUUCUAUUUACUGAGACAGGGAGCACUGUGUGAGGAGCCCAAGAGAGAAGGUGGGAUAAGAUGGUAAUUACUGGGCAUGUGCCACUCCUAUAAAAAUGAGCCCUAAAAGGCCGUUCAGCCUGCCAGGCCUCAUGGUAUCUUAGGGCUAAGAAGUGAAUUAAAUCCUUGCUAUAGACGUGGUGUUAAUUCUUUCCUCGAUGCCACCCACAAACCCCGUGUACACUGUUUACACCCUGCUGAGGAGUUGAAAGGACAGAAUGAAGCCUCAAAAUGGUAAAAAACAGCUGGAAUGAUAAGACUAAGUUUGAUGGAAUUUAAUAGGGGCAAACGUAAAUGACACACCCCUUAGGUUUGCAGAAUCAAUUGUUCAUGAUAAAAAGAAAAAACAACAAAUGGAGUCACUUGUGCUAAGUCCCACAUCUGCAAACCAAGUCUUAGCCCCCAAACGAAGUGGAGUUUCAGCAUCUCCCAGAAACGUGACCUUUGACCAGUCAAGCUGGAAUCACCUGGUCAGCACCAGUGAGGUCAUCUCCCUGAUAACCUCCACCUUUACCCAAAGGAAGGUGACCUUGCCAGAAACAAUCCACUCUUCGUCUUGACCCCUUUCUGCCUGUGGAAGCCUUUUAUUUUAAACAGCUCUUUAGAGCUCUUUUAUGCUUCCUAGAUGGCAUAUUCAUAAAUCAUUGAAUAAAGGCAAUUAGAUCUUCAAAUUUACUCAGUUGAACUUUGUUUUUUAACAAUGUAAAGAUUGAACACCUGACUUGAUAGCCGCUCAUGUCAACAGAGCCUAAUAGAGUCAGCCGUGGAGUGUGCACAGGCCUACCGUGUCCUACAGCUGCCUUUCUCCCGCUUCUAAUGCCCGUGAAAGUGGUUAUCUGAGCAGAAUCGAGAAGAACCGAUAAGGACAGAGACCAGUUCAGGGAGAUGUCUGACAAGGCCUGAGUUUCAGGGGGCUGCUUAGAGCAUGGUCCAGGCAUACCUCCAACAAAAUGCCUGGAAAAACCAGAAGCAAGGGACACAAUUCUCAACUGACCAGGGAGCCUCUGAGAGAGGGAUUUGUCUGGGCUAGAAACAGAAGGAAUGGUGGACCAAGGAAAUGAAAAAGGGCAGAGGAGCCCAGAAAAGCUGCUUGUCACGUUAAUUUGUUUCAAUCAUGUGUGAACUGAUUACCUAUAUGCUUAGCCCUCUGCUAUGGAAAAUGCCAUAAAAUGACAGCCACAGUAUAUUCGGUGCUAAUAAGUCUGGCUCAGACGGCAGGUGCUAGGCAGAAGACAGUGAGGUCUGUCAGGGCUGGGGGUCAAGAAAGACGUUCUUGGACAGCUGGGGGCCAAGGAAGAUGUCACUGGCAAGGCAUGAGUUGGGGGAAGUGAGAAAGCUGCUGACUGCAGUCUUGGGAAGCAGGUGGAUAGGUAAGGGUGAGGCCAGAGUUUGGCAUGCCCCAUGGGCCCGACAGACAAGGAGCUGAGAUGUGAUGGAGCUCAGUGGAGUGAGCUCUUACCUGUAGGGUGCAGGGUUCGCAGAAGAGUGGUCUGGCCUGUGAAGCUGAAUUGCAGGAAACCAGAAUCUGUGACUUUCUUCCCCAUUGCUUCUCUCCUUAUAGUGCGUGCCCUAGGUGGCUGACUACCCUGGCUGUGCUGAGCAUCUAUAGCAGACAUGAGUACCCAGACAGCAGUAACCAGGAAAGCUGCAGGGAAAAUGUCUGGGAGAGAAACCCCAGUGCCCUUUGAUGGGAAAUCAAGUAAGUGAAAGUGAGAUGCGAAGGAGCUUUGUAGGUUGCAGAGUGUAAGAGAUUCCUUUCCUUCCUCCUUUUCUUCCUUCUUCUCUUCCUUGCUCUUCCCUCCCUUCUCCAUCUGUUGGGCAGUGGCUUCCUAGAGGCACAGAAAGAUGGUCCUGCUCCCACAAUUCAUAGUGGAGAGGGGAGGUCAGACGCACAAGUAAGUGACAUUAUUUCUUUGAUUUUAAGAUGCACUCUCAAUACAAUAAGACAUUUGAGACAAAUAAAAUCAGAAACAGUACCACAUUAAAUGUACACAUGGUUUGCAAAACAUCCUUUUUUUGGAAACACACGGGUGUGAAAAAAAAGGUGUGUUUUAAAAUUGAGUGCUGUGGGCAAAGUGGUCAUUAUCACAAUAGGAGUGGGUUCAGUGACCUGUCAGAACAUAAAACUGCGGGGGCGGGGGAGGGGAUGUCUCUGUGUUAGAAGUGGUAGUUAGAGCUGUGUGAUCAUUGUCAUAAUGGUGGGGGGAGGCACUAGGCGCCCCUGGGACCCACUGAAGGAAGCUCUUAAUGCUGCCCGGGGACACCAGGUAAGGUUUCAGUGGGAGGUGGUGUUGGAAGGCCACCUUCUAGGUGAACGGUGGUGGACAAGCAUGGCUAAAGAGUCCAGAGGAGGGGGGUCCCUGCAGGGGAGCAGCUCUGGCAGAGGCAGGAGGCAAAGGAGAGUACUGUGCAUUCUCAGAGCAACUGCUGGUCAUCAUGGUGAUUGUUAUUAGCACUGGAGGAAACGAGGGGGCCUUCAGUCUGGAGGUGGCUGGCCACAUCUCAUCACAAAGAUAACAGGGAAGGAGAGGCAGGCUUUGCAGGGCAACAGAAGGUUCAUCUCUGCUGAAUUUGCCCAUAUCUUGGAAAGUUUCUGUUUGCUAUUUACAUAAGUCCUCAAUCGAUUACCUGAUGCAAACAUGAUGGGUUCUCAAAUAGUUAGAAAAUACAACAGAUUUCAGUCAAUAGAUUCAGAAUUCUUCAUUGAAUCUGCUUUCUUAUUCCCUUCAACCUUUUCUCAAGGGGAAGUAUGCCCUUUAGAAGUGAUUGAUUGUGUUGCCCCUGGGCACUUGCACCUCUUACAGGUUUGUUUUUUUUUCCUCUCUCUCUCUCUCUCUCUGUCUCCCUCUCUCUCUGUCUUUCUCUUCUUCCCCAUGGUUGUCAAAGCUGCAUAAGCUGCAACAUCAGGCAGGCAUCAAGGAAUAUAUUUUUUGUUCAGAUGUGUGUGUGCAUGUGAGGCUGUCUCUGAAUUGCAUCCUCAUAGAAUAACCUUUGGGUGUUCGCAUGAUGAGGAUGCUAUUAGCAGGAAAUUCAUUUUUUCUUGGUCCCAGGACAGGGAGAAAGCUACCACAGUGUUGAAAGGAAGCCCAGUAAACAGUAAGCAGGAAGGCCUGGUAAAAGAGAUGGACAGUACUGGAUUAAUUAGGACAUUCUCCUGGGCUAUGUCUCUUUAUGCUCCUGGGGGGAUGGAUAUUCUCUUGGGGCAGAGAAGCCCCCCUCUGGUCCUUUCUGCACUCACUUAUUAGCUCAGCCCAUCCUGGGCCUGGGGGAGAGAAUCUCCUGGCUGCCCCUCCCCCCCCCACCCCUCACCCCCUUAAUGCUCUUUCUCAGCUCUGGGAGGCCCAUGGGCUGUCAGAGUAACCACUGGGAUGGAAAGGCACCCACCGGGAGCCACCGCCCCGGCUCCUCCUGCUGGUUCUGCCGCUGGAGCCUCUUUGGAUCAUGUUUGCUCAUCUGUGAAAUCAGGCCGUUUACUAGUUAAUCUCUAAGGUUGUGCCUCAGCUCUAUGACAGUAAUUCAGACAAGAAUAGACACCGUUGUUGCUGAAUGUUUAUACUGUGUGCCAGGCAUUCUGCUGAGAGCUUACCUCAUUUAAUCCGCAUGGCAACUCUGUGUGGUUCAUAUUCUUAUUAUCUCAUUUUACAAAUGAGGAACCGAGGCUCCGAGAUAUUGGCUGCUUAGUCCUGGGGAAUGUAAGUGGAAAGUGGCAGAACCGGAGUGAGCCCAUGUCUCUGAUUCUGCAACCCACAUGUUUGAUUCAUUUUCUUAGUCAAGCUGCUAUAACAAAACCCACUGACUCCAUGGCUUAAACAACAAACAUCUGUUUCUCUCAGCUGGGAGGCUGGAAGCCCAAGAUCAAGAUGUCUGCAGAUUCUGUGCCUGCUGAGAUCUCUCUUCCCGGUUUACAGAUGGCUGCCUUCUUGCUGUGUCUUCCCACAGCACACAGAGAGAGAGAGGGAGAGAGGGAGGGAGCAAGAGUUCUAGUCUCUUCUUCUUCUUAUAAGGACAUUAAUCCCAUGAUAAGGAUCCUACCCUGAUGAACUCCUGUAAACCUAGUCAUGUCCCAAGGUCCUAAUACCACUGCCUCGUGAAGUUAGGGCUUCAACAUAUGGGUUUCAUAGGAACACAAACAUUCAGCCCAUAAUAGAUGUUAUGCAUCUUGCCUCCUUCCAUGAUUUGGAGAGAGUGUGAGUGAGGCUUGAGUCACCCUUAGGAGCAAUAGGAGGGCCUCUGCUCCCCACCUCCAGCACGGCACAGAGAGGGAGUAGUCAGGUGUAAAGUCGCUUUGCCUGAGAGCAGGACUCUGGGAGCUGGUGAACAGGGAUCCUGCGUAAUGUUUAUGAAGGCAGACACUCGGAGACAAGCUACUUCCCAGGAGUAUCUGUGACCAUCUGUGAACAUCCAUCCAUUUGUUCCACAAAUGUCUUUUGAAUACCUACACUCUUUCAGCGACUGGGAAUCCAGUGGUGAACAAGACAGGGAGCUUACCUUUUAGUAGGGAAAAAAGGCAUCAGCUAAUAAUACAAAUGAAUAGGUAAUUUAAAAUCAUGUUAAAUACUAGGAAAGACUAUACAGAGUGCUAUGAGGAUACUCCUGGGGGCCAGAUUUGGUCCUGGUGGAAGAUGUGGUCGUCACAGUUCUUCCUGAAGAAGUGGUUGCUGAGCAGAGCUCUUGGGGAUCUGAAGGCUUUAAGUAGACA
Molecule: long non-coding RNA, 13471 nt
Organism: Acinonyx jubatus (cheetah)
Lineage: Eukaryota; Metazoa; Chordata; Mammalia; Carnivora; Felidae
Exons: 5
Source: RefSeq, a predicted model, not a curated record